GGUUGACCUCGGAUCAGGUAGGGAUACCCA
RNAcentral lists this ribosomal RNA (30 nucleotides) under Pezicula corni. RNAcentral's name for it is "partial 28S ribosomal RNA". The record is from RNAcentral. Lineage: Eukaryota; Fungi; Ascomycota; Leotiomycetes; Helotiales; Dermateaceae.